UACGGGAGGCAGCGGUGGGGAAUAUUGGACAAUGGGCGCAAGCCUGAUCCAGCGAUGCCGCGUGAGUGAUGAAGGCCCUCGGGUCGUAAAGCUCUUUUACCAGGGAUGAUAAUGACAGUACCUGGAGAAUAAGCUCCGGCUAACUCCGUGCCAGCAGCCGCGGUAAU
This 167-nucleotide ribosomal RNA is filed under the name uncultured bacterium. RNAcentral describes it as "partial 16S ribosomal RNA". It matches the Rfam family "Bacterial small subunit ribosomal RNA", at positions 340 to 524 of the family's 1533-position model. The record is from RNAcentral.